CGUAGUCGAUGGGAAACAGGUUAAUAUUCCUGUACUUGGUGUUACUGCGAAGGGGGGACGGAGAAGGCUAUGUUGGCCGGGCGACGGUUGUCCCGGUUUAAGCGUGUAGGCUGGUUUUCCAGGCAAAUCCGGAAAAUCAAGGCUGAGGCGUGAUGACGAGGCACUACGGUGCUGAAGCGACAAAUGCCCUGCUUCCAGGAAAAGCCUCUAAGCAUCAGGUAACAUCAAAUCGUACCCCAAACCGACACAGGUGGUCAGGUAGAGAAUACCAAGGCGCUUGAGAGAACUCGGGUGAAGGAACUAGGCAAAAUGGUGCCGUAACUUCGGGAGAAGGCACGCUGAUAUGUAGGUGAAGCGACUUGCUCGUGGAGCUGAAAUCAGUCGAAGAUACCAGCUGGCUGCAACUGUUUAUUAAAAACACAGCACUGUGCAAACACGAAAGUGGACGUAUACGGUGUGACGCCUGCCCGGUGCCGGAAGGUUAAUUGAUGGGGUUAGCGGUAACGCGAAGCUCUUGAUCGAAGCCCCGGUAAACGGCGGCCGUAACUAUAACGGUCCUAAGGUAGCGAAAUUCCUUGUCGGGUAAGUUCCGACCUGCACGAAUGGCGUAAUGAUGGCCAGGCUGUCUCCACCCGAGACUCAGUGAAAUUGAACUCGCUGUGAAGAUGCAGUGUACCCGCGGCAAGACGGAAAGACCCCGUGAACCUUUACUAUAGCUUGACACUGAACAUUGAGCCUUGAUGUGUAGGAUAGGUGGGAGGCUUUGAAGUGUGGACGCCAGUCUGCAUGGAGCCGACCUUGAAAUACCACCCUUUAAUGUUUGAUGUUCUAACGUGGGCCCCUUACCGGGGUUGCGGACAGUGUCUGGUGGGUAGUUUGACUGGGGCGGUCUCCUCCUAAAGAGUAACGGAGGAGCACGAAGGUUGGCUAAUCCUGGUCGGACAUCAGGAGGUUAGUGCAAUGGCAUAAGCCAGCUUGACUGCGAGCGUGACGGCGCGAGCAGGUGCGAAAGCAGGUCAUAGUGAUCCGGUGGUUCUGAAUGGAAGGGCCAUCGCUCAACGGAUAAAAGGUACUCCGGGGAUAACAGGCUGAUACCGCCCAAGAGUUCAUAUCGACGGCGGUGUUUGGCACCUCGAUGUCGGCUCAUCACAUCCUGGGGCUGAAGUAGGUCCCAAGGGUAUGGCUGUUCGCCAUUUAAAGUGGUACGCGAGCUGGGUUUAGAACGUCGUGAGACAGUUCGGUCCCUAUCUGCCGUGGGCGCUGGAGAACUGAGGGGGGCUGCUCCUAGUACGAGAGGACCGGAGUGGACGCAUCACUGGUGUUCGGGUUGUCAUGCCAAUGGCACUGCCCGGUAGCUAAAUGCGGAAGAGAUAAGUGCUGAAAGCAUCUAAGCACGAAACUUGCCCCGAGAUGAGUUCUCCCUGACUCCUUGAGAGUCCUGAAGGAACGUUGAAGACGACGACGUUGAUAGGCCGGGUGUGUAAGCGCAGCGAUGCGUUGAGCUAACCGGUACUAAUGAACCGUGAGGCUUAACCUUACAACGCCGAAG
RNAcentral lists this ribosomal RNA (1549 nucleotides) under Escherichia coli. Its description in RNAcentral is "partial 23S ribosomal RNA". It matches the Rfam family "Bacterial large subunit ribosomal RNA", at positions 1410 to 2925 of the family's 2925-position model. Lineage: Bacteria; Pseudomonadati; Pseudomonadota; Gammaproteobacteria; Enterobacterales; Enterobacteriaceae. The record is from RNAcentral.